Molecule: ribosomal RNA, 332 nt
Filed under: uncultured eukaryote
Lineage: Eukaryota
Description: partial 18S ribosomal RNA
Rfam family: Eukaryotic small subunit ribosomal RNA
Source: RNAcentral
CCCUUAGAUGUUCUGGGCUGCACACGUGCUACACUGGCAGGUUCAGCGAGCUUCAUGCCCUGAUCUGAAAGGAAUGGGAAAUCUUUUCAAAACCUGCCGUGCUUGGGAUAGAUGUUUGCAAUUAUUCAUCUUCAACGAGGAUUGGCUUGUAAGCGCACGUCAUCAGCGUGCAUUGAAUACGACCCUGUAUUCUGUACACACCGCCCGUCGCUCCUACCGAUUGAAGUUUUCGGUGAGUUGACAGGAGGAUUUUUUUGAAACUGGUUCGCCAGUGGAUUUUAGAUCCAAAUGCCAACGAAUCGAUGGCUUUAGAGGAAGGAGAAGUCGUAACA